This 81-nucleotide transfer RNA is filed under the name Mizuhopecten yessoensis (Yesso scallop). RNAcentral's name for it is "tRNA-Ser". It matches the Rfam family "tRNA". Rfam says of the family: Transfer RNA (tRNA) molecules are approximately 80 nucleotides in length. Lineage: Eukaryota; Metazoa; Mollusca; Bivalvia; Pectinida; Pectinidae. The record is from Rfam by way of RNAcentral.
GUCGUCGUGGCCGAGUGGUUAAGGCGAUAGACUAGAAAUCUAUUUGGGUCUCCCGCCCAGGUUAGAAUCCUGCCGACGACG